Molecule: long non-coding RNA, 384 nt
Organism: Helianthus annuus (common sunflower)
Lineage: Eukaryota; Viridiplantae; Streptophyta; Magnoliopsida; Asterales; Asteraceae
Exons: 3
Source: RefSeq, a predicted model, not a curated record
AGGGUGAAACCCUAAAGUGCCAAAAAUCAUCAAAUUGAAGGUCGAUUUCAGUCCUAAAUUGAUGCAUGAUCACAUAAAAACAAUCACCAAGUCAUGGGGAUCACAAGUUGGCGCUUAACAAGCUAGGUGAAGCUUGGGGAGGAAGCGGGUCGAACGAGUCAAGCAUAAAGAAAAAGCGUAUUCGGGAUGCAAGGUGAAUGCCAAGAGUGCACGGAUGAAGAUCAAGCAUCGAGCAAGAACCGAACACGAUUACGAAAUAAGCUUCCGCACUAUGUAUCGUUAUUAUGUUAAAGGACGAACGUACACAUGAUAUGUUCUAUACUUUUUAAAUUGUAAAAAGUUUUAAUAAACCCGUAAUUUCCAAUGCAUAUGUAAUCUUAAUUA